This 646-nucleotide unclassified non-coding RNA is filed under the name uncultured Prochlorococcus sp. RNAcentral describes it as "partial 16S-23S ribosomal RNA intergenic spacer; may also contain 16S ribosomal RNA and 23S ribosomal RNA". The stretch from base 1 to 93 matches the Rfam family "Bacterial small subunit ribosomal RNA", at positions 1441 to 1533 of the family's 1533-position model. Lineage: Bacteria; Bacillati; Cyanobacteriota; Cyanophyceae; Synechococcales; Prochlorococcaceae. The record is from RNAcentral.
UUGUGGAGGAGGACGCCGAAGGUGGGGCUAAUGACUGGGGUGAAGUCGUAACAAGGUAGCCGUACCGGAAGGUGCGGCUGGAUCACCUCCUAACAGGGAGACAACAAAAUGUUUAAUAUUAUUAUUUUGUCACCUUAGGUCGAUCGGUAUCUCACGUUCUUAAACUAAUUAAGAAUUUCAUUCCUAAGUUUUUCUAGGUCACACCCAUUAUUUUUCCUGGGCCAUUAGCUCAGGUGGUUAGAGCGCACCCCUGAUAAGGGUGAGGUCCCUGGUUCAAGUCCAGGAUGGCCCAUAUCUCUAUGUUGGGGGUAUAGCUCAGUUGGUAGAGCGCCUGCUUUGCAAGCAGGAUGUCAGCAGUUCGAGUCCGCUUACCUCCACUGAUUACACCUCUUCCAUAAUCUGUAGAAAGGGAAUUUUUUGAGUUGUGAUCAAUUUCUGAACGAAUCUAGCUUCCUAAUGAAAGCAUUAAGAUGCUGGACUCAUUGAAUUAAUUUCAUUGCUUUCAGAGAACCUUGACAACUGCAUAGAUUAUUUUUAAAGACAAUAAGCAUCUUUAAUGAUGCAGAUUUAUUAUUUGUGCAAAUGCAUUAAAUAACAAUUCUAUUAAGCUGAUGCUUCAAUUAUGAAGUUAUUGGUCAAGCUACAA